CGUUGUGCUAUCGCUCCAGCACCAUCUGUCACCCCAUUGAUUGCCAUGUUGAUUCGGCUGAUCUGGCUGGCUACGCGGGUGUCCCCUUCCUCCCUCACCACUCCAUGUGCAUCCCUCCCGAAGCUGCGCUCUCAGUUGAAGAGGAUGGCCUUCCCCGAAUAGAGACGGACCCGUCUUCAGUCGAGGGUAUACGAGUAGCUGCGCUCCCCUGCUAGAACCUCCAAACAAGCUCUCAAAAUAAAUAAAUAAAUACAGCAUUUUUUACAUAAAGAUUCAAUAAGUAUCUCUGAGAUAGAGUAAAGCCAAUU
RNAcentral lists this small nuclear RNA (308 nucleotides) under Sorex araneus (European shrew). RNAcentral's name for it is "7SK RNA (ENSSARG00000017818.1)". It matches the Rfam family "7SK RNA". Rfam says of the family: 7SK was discovered as an abundant small nuclear RNA in the mid-70s but a possible function has only recently been suggested. Two independent studies have found that 7SK RNA binds the CDK9/cyclin T complex (known as elongation factor P-TEFb). The record is from RNAcentral. Lineage: Eukaryota; Metazoa; Chordata; Mammalia; Eulipotyphla; Soricidae.